GGGAAGCCCCUGGAGCCUGGAGGGGGUGUCUCCCAGGUCUAGGGAAAUCUCCGGAGAGGGUUACCCCAAAGCUGCUGAAGUAGCUCCCACCCAAAGGUCAGGGGCCAUCGCACACACACACACACACACACACACACACACACACACACACACACACCUUUUUUUUUGUUUUUGCAUGCCUGGUUUUGUUCCAAAAACCCCUCUUUAGUAUUCCCAGAUGAUCUUCGUCUGCGGCUGCGUUCCUCGGAAUGCCUGUGAGGCGUCAGGUGCCAAUCCAGCAGCUCCCCGGGAUAUACAAGUAGGAGAAGAACACAGUUCAAACUGUCAUGGAGCCUAGGGGUCUAGGAGGCGGCGGCUGGGAGAGACAGACCGGCCAGAAUGACCUUGUGCCUGGUUAGCAGCAUGGUGGGAAGACAGCGGGUGAAUCCCAGCUCCUUGAGGUGUCUGCAAGCUCAGGUAUCCUCGGGCAACACCCGGCCUGCACUUGGGAGCUGUGCUGGUGACUCUCACCGGUGGUGAUCGAGUCUCAUGAGCGGUGGUUCUCAUGAGAGACAUCGUGGAUUGCGUGAGGGCCGAAGGAGCCAAGAGCUGGCUUGGAGUCAGUUAAUAUCGAUGGCCAUCCAUCUGGACAGGAUCUGGACUCUCCUAGGAGACAAAUCCCUGGGUCUCUGUGAAAGAGUCUCUUCCACAAGAGCCUCAGGCAUGCUCGGAUGCUGGGCAAGGCCCUCUAACCACUGAGCCACAUCUCCAGCCCCAGCCAGCUGGUCCCUGCCAGUAGGAGAGCCGUGGCCACUGAAGGAGGUUUACAGCCAAGAAGCCCUUAGUGUGGAGUCCAGGCACAGUCUGGUCAAACUCCUCCGGACAGUCCUGGGGUGGAUGAGGACCAAGACCAAGCCCUGGGUUUGCCUGGGGGUAACAGUAGGGUUUUCCUAGCGCCCUCCAGACGAGGCA
Mesocricetus auratus (golden hamster) is the source of this 951-nucleotide long non-coding RNA. RefSeq lists it as uncharacterized. The transcript is spliced from 4 exons. The record is from RefSeq and is a predicted model, not a curated record. NCBI's taxonomy places the organism in Eukaryota, Metazoa, Chordata, Mammalia, Rodentia, Cricetidae.